GGCGGCAUGGCCAAGUGGUAAGGCAGAGGACUGCAAAUCCUUUAUCCCCAGUUCAAAUCCGGGUGUCGCCU
RNAcentral lists this transfer RNA (71 nucleotides) under Trillium cuneatum (little sweet Betsy). Its description in RNAcentral is "tRNA-Cys". It matches the Rfam family "tRNA". From Rfam's summary of the family: Transfer RNA (tRNA) molecules are approximately 80 nucleotides in length. Lineage: Eukaryota; Viridiplantae; Streptophyta; Magnoliopsida; Liliales; Melanthiaceae. The record is from RNAcentral. RNAcentral also lists the same sequence under 4 other names.